AACACAUGCCCCCCAGUUUUGGAAUAAAACAUAAUCUUUACUUCGAAAUUCCUUUCAACUUCUCUUCCGAAACAAACGCAUUGAAACUAUCCUUCCGUUUCGCGGUCCUCAGCCUGAUGAUUGCAAUCUUUUCGAAACGGGCGCCCACAACAACCACUCCCGAAAAAAUCGAAAUGCCGGCACGGUAAAAAUCCCGCUUUAACCCCUUCUCAGACCACCCUUAGAUACCAGCACGUCCCGUACUUCUUUUCACGAGCUCACGUCUUCCUUCUUUGGCAUACUGAUCUUCUUCUUCCUCCGGCGUCUUCCUUAGCCUCCAAUCUUUCUCUCCGGCAUCUUCUUUCAUCCACAUCCCA
RNAcentral lists this long non-coding RNA (356 nucleotides) under Setaria viridis. Its description in RNAcentral is "long non-coding RNA (SVIR_LNC005968)". The record is from RNAcentral. Lineage: Eukaryota; Viridiplantae; Streptophyta; Magnoliopsida; Poales; Poaceae.